GUUAACUUAUAGAGAUGCACUGGACGUUAAUUUCAGUUUUAGUGCUGUGUUGCCUUGGGUCCUGUGUCGCCCAGUCUCAAGGUAUCGCUGAUGCACUGUGUGGCAAGAUUGGAAAGUUGCUUCUUUGUCAAUGUGCAGCAGAAGGGGCGUGCGAAGACGGUUUUAUUCCUGUAGGAAUAUGUCCGAGGAUUCGUGGGAUGCCAAUGCCACCCCAGUUACAAUGCUGUCCGCCAAUAUAUGUAAUGCUCUGCUUGCAGCUACAACGAGGAAAUUCUAACCAGGCACAAGGCGGAAAUUCCCUUCUUUACGCGGGCGCUAAACCACAACCCUUUUUAUGAUUUACGUUCAAAAAUGGAUUUAUAUUUGUAUAAAAUUUUUACUAUCGGACAGUGAAAAACAAGAAAACAUUAAUAGAUAAAAUUGAAAACAUUUUUUUCUACAAAUGCAACUUUGUCCGUGUACCUACCUGCUCAUUUAAUUACUUUCCUUAUAUGGAUAUUUUGAUAAAGCGGAAGAAAUGGAAAAGUUUCUUAGUGGAUUUCCCUAUAAAAUGUAAAAUGCAUUCGAAAGAUUAAGUUCAAAUAAAAAAAGUAUUAUCAGGAUACUUCUGGUUCAGAAUUUUGCCAUGUGAUUAUUCCAAAUUCUUAAGUUAAAAAAGAAUUUGUAUAUUAAACAUGUAAAAAGUCAGCAAGUUGCAUUUUUGUAAUUGUUCGUGAAGAAAUCCUGAGAAUUUUUUUUUCUCAGGAAGAAUGUAAUUUCGAUCCUUAGAAAAUUCUCUUUUUUACUGACACACAAUUUAAACAUUGUACGAAAUAAACAAAUAAAUAAAUAAAUUUCUUCAAAAGUUUGCCUGAAGGAAUGUGAAUGUAAUAUCAAAUGCUGUAAUUUGUAACAAAUUAGUGGAAUUAUACCAGACAGGAGUAUAGAACAUAGAAAACAAGCUGUAAUAUGACAUGUCAAACGUUAUAAUAUUCGAUUUUUUCCUUUUUACAUUCUAUAUUUGUCCAUUUGUACUGUUUAUUUCACAAUUUGUAUUAAACAUAUUUUUGUUUUCUAUAA
Saccostrea echinata is the source of this 1059-nucleotide long non-coding RNA. RefSeq lists it as uncharacterized. Lineage: Eukaryota; Metazoa; Mollusca; Bivalvia; Ostreida; Ostreidae. The record is from RefSeq and is a predicted model, not a curated record. The transcript is spliced from 2 exons.